AUGAAGAAAAAUCAACCAAAACAACAGAAUAAAGUAAAAAAGCAGAAGUGAAACAUAAAAAGAGUUCACAAUCUGAUCUGAUUCAGAGAAAUAAAACAGUUUGAUCACGGAUGAACAGAAGGAGUUUCAUAUAAUGACAUAAAGAUACUGCUAGUUCAUUCAAAGAGGAAAGACAAAUGAAUAAAAUAAGCAAUAAAACUAUUACAAAACACAGCUGUCCAGAAAAUAAUCUUCAUAACUAAAACUGUAGAAAAUCUGGUUAAUUCAUAUCUCCUGGUUUAAUGAAUCUCUUGGUUUUAUAUAAGAUCUGUUGUUGACAGGUGAAAGCUGGACUGAUUCUGAACUCAUUUCUCACAGAUGUGAAGAUCUGCUGCUGCUCUCAUGAAUCUUCUGCUGUGUGUUCAUGUCUCUCUCGAAAUCUUCUCAUUCUCACUUUCUGAUCCUUCUGUUUCUUUCCUAAAAGCAUCAUCAUCAUCAUCAUCAUCUUCACACUCUCAAUAUUUGCAUGUCAAAUCCAUAAUGAUGAUCAUGAAUUUCUCUCACCUGACAUGUGUCUCAUGUAGAUGUGAAAAGCUCCUAACAGACCCAACAGAACCAUCAUCUGGAGACACCAGACCAGAACAAACACCACAGACACUGAACAACACAAACACAUCAAUCAAUCAAUCAAACAAUCAAUCAAUCAAUCAAUCAAUCAAUCAAUCAGUGUUGGGCAGUUAAUUAUCUGUUUAUUCACAGAAAUGAGCUCACCAGGACAGGGUUGGACUCUAAUGGUCUUCUGUGCGUGACUGACGUGGUUCUUCACGCUGCAGCUGAUGUCUCCAUCAGUUCCCUCAUCCAGAUCAAUGCUGCUGUUUCCAUCCAUCAGUGGAUCUCCAUUCAGAGUCCAGCUGUAGAGGAGCUGAUCCCCCUCAGAGGAGCAGAACACCCUCAUCACCCCACUGGAGGAGCAGAUGAUUGACACUUCCACUGAGCCAAUAGGAGCUGGAGGGAGGGACACAUGACAGUCACAUGACAAACACAGGGGAAUCUUGUUCUUCCACACUACUCAUACUAUUACUGGAGUCUGUAGUGUGUUUACUGUGUGCUACAGGAAUAAAAACCUUCCCAGAGAUUCA
Cyprinus carpio (common carp) is the source of this 1118-nucleotide long non-coding RNA. The record is from Ensembl. NCBI's taxonomy places the organism in Eukaryota, Metazoa, Chordata, Actinopteri, Cypriniformes, Cyprinidae.